Molecule: transfer-messenger RNA, 351 nt
Filed under: Lysobacterales bacterium CG_4_9_14_3_um_filter_62_6
Lineage: Bacteria; Pseudomonadati; Pseudomonadota; Gammaproteobacteria; Lysobacterales
Also listed under: 2 other names
Description: Xanthomonadales bacterium CG_4_9_14_3_um_filter_62_6 transfer-messenger RNA
Rfam family: transfer-messenger RNA
About the family: Bacterial tmRNA, also known as 10Sa RNA or SsrA, is named for its dual tRNA and mRNA-like properties.
Source: RNAcentral
GGGGGCGAUCGGCUUCGACGGGGGACUCGAAAUCGCUGGGUGCAUGUCGAGGAGGUAGCUUCCCUCGUUAAUCCAGCUGCAAAACUUUAGUUGCCAACGACGACAACUACGCACUGGCCGCUUAAGGCCUAAGCCCCGACUGCGCUUAUGCUGAUGUUCGCAAAAGCCGGGUCACUAUCAUCAGAUAAGCGCUGCCCUUCGUCUGGGGGUCAGCGACGAAAACCUACAGACUGGUGGCCGGGUAAGCGCGCGUUUCGGCAUCCCGACCAUGAGAACCAAAGAAACGCUACACAUGUAGUACCUGGGACGUAGAGCUUUCGGACGCGGGUUCGAUUCCCGCCGCCUCCACCA